Molecule: non-coding RNA, 569 nt
Organism: Paramuricea clavata
Lineage: Eukaryota; Metazoa; Cnidaria; Anthozoa; Malacalcyonacea; Plexauridae
Source: the annotation of a GenBank genome assembly
AAUAUAGACAAGUAAGACAAAUAAUUGUGUAAAGUAAUAAUUAAAAUAACUCUAAAGAAACCAACAUAAUCAUGGUUCUCAUUAAUCGGCGAUGUUGUACAAUCCAUUGUCUUGUGAGCAGCGAAGAAUAAAAUGCACUAAACGUUUUAUGCAUCAAAGCAUGACAUGGGUCAACCUAUAUUUAAUUUAUGAAUUUAGAUUCGGCCAUAUGAAUUCUUCACUAUGGACAUCUACCAUCUCGGUUUAGUGCUAUGGAGUGUAUUUGAAAGUGUUCUCUGUACAGCUGCUAUAUUCGGUUGGGCUCAAUUAUUGGAAAUACUUGAAGGUGAACAAUAUUUCUCGUCUUAUUGCGGAGAUGAGGCUAAAUCAAACAAGACAAUAAUAACACAGUUAAAUACAAGUAACUACAUAAACGAGGCGGAUAGCAAUGAUAUAAACACAUGUUCCGUGCAAGAUAGUAUUCUUCGCUUGGCCUAUACAAUCUCCGUUUUCGCUGCUUUCGCUUCAGUAUUUCUCAGUGGAAAAUAUAUGGAUAUGUUUGGCUUCAGAAAGACAAGGAUAUUGGCAAG